Molecule: long non-coding RNA, 1333 nt
Organism: Polistes canadensis
Lineage: Eukaryota; Metazoa; Arthropoda; Insecta; Hymenoptera; Vespidae
Exons: 6
Source: RefSeq, a predicted model, not a curated record
AAUGUAUUUAGUUUACAAAUUUUAAGUGAUGCAAUAAUCAAGUGAAUAAUAUUUUUCAUUAAAUUUAAUUUGUGUUUUAUUUUCUCUCUAUAGUGAUCACCAAUUCGGAAUGAAAAUAGUUAAAUUUGAUGGCUUGCUGUGCGAUUCUGUUAUGUCUUAACCUAUAACAAUGACAAUAUUCUACAUUAAAUUUAAAAUACCCAUGAAUUCCAAACAUUCUUUUUAUCCAGUUACUAUUAACAAACAAUAUCAUAUCAUGUGUGUGGGACUCAGCUUUGAUUUUGAAAUUUGUUAAAUUACAUAUAUAGACUUUUUGAAUAGUUUUACAUAAGCUCUACAUUUUAAAUUUCAACCCAAGACCAUUACACACCAAAGAAGAAGUCACCAUUACAUAUUUUUGAAUAGUUUUACAUAAGCUCUACAUUUUAAAUUUCAACCCAAGACCAUUACACACCAAAGAAGAAGUCACCAUUACACCAUGAGACAAACGGAUAUAUAUAUCAUUUUUUUAAGGCUAACGCUAUAAAAAUUUGUGUCAACUAGUAUCUCCUUCGUAAGGAUUCCAAGUAAAAUGUUGUGCAAAUAAAGUGCAGAUGCAAUGACAAGAUAUCAUCAAAACUAGAAACCGUUUAAAAGUAAAGACAACAAUCUGAUAUGUUCAAUCAAUUUACUGGAAAAGGGAGCACAUUAUUUUCAAUAACGAUAGGAAGAAUUCGACAAUACCAUGCAGUAGUAUUCUAUUAAAAGAAUUGAAAAAGGAAUUAAAAAAUACAUUGUAAUAAGAAUACUUUUCUUGUACAAAAUGUGUAUUACAAAGCCUUGUACCAGAGAUGCCAUGUAAAUCAUUAUGCAAAAAGAAUGCAGCAGCAGUGAAAAGAAUCUGUUAAAAGGCAAACAUUAUUAUCUUGUAGUGUUCAUUUAAUUUAAUUAAAGAGAGAGCGUAUGAUUAUUUACUACGAUAUUCAGAAUCCAACAACACUGUCAUCAUGAAAAAUUUUGGAAGACGCUAAGGAAAGUUUCCCGUUCUCACCCUGGAAAGAWACCAUGUUUUAUAAUAUUCUAUGAAAAGAAUUGAAGAAGAAAUGCAUCCUAGUUAUUACUAAUUUAAAAGACAUAUAGGAAAUAUACAUUAUAAUAAGAAUACUUUUCUUGUAAAAAAUGUAUUGCCAAACGUUGUAUCAGAGAUGCCAUGUGAAUUAUUAUACAAAUAGAAUGCAGCAGCAGUGAAAAGGAUCUGUUAAAAGKCAAACAUUAUUAUCUUGUAUUAGGAAGAAACCAAAAUAUUGUAAUACAAUGGUAUAAAAUAUUUAUUCAAAACUUUAAAGAACUUAUU